AAAUUGAAGAGUUUGAUCAUGGCUCAGAUUGAACGCUGGCGGCAGGCCUAACACAUGCAAGUCGAACGGUAACAGGAAGCAGCUUGCUGCUUUGCUGACGAGUGGCGGACGGGUGAGUAAUGUCUGGGAAACUGCCUGAUGGAGGGGGAUAACUACUGGAAACGGUGGCUAAUACCGCAUAACGUCGCAAGACCAAAGAGGGGGACCUUCGGGCCUCUUGCCAUCAGAUGUGCCCAGAUGGGAUUAGCUUGUUGGUGAGGUAACGGCUCACCAAGGCGACGAUCCCUAGCUGGUCUGAGAGGAUGACCAGCCACACUGGAACUGAGACACGGUCCAGACUCCUACGGGAGGCAGCAGUGGGGAAUAUUGCACAAUGGGC
This 379-nucleotide ribosomal RNA is filed under the name Salmonella enterica. Its description in RNAcentral is "bacterial SSU rRNA". It matches the Rfam family "Bacterial small subunit ribosomal RNA", at positions 1 to 376 of the family's 1533-position model. Lineage: Bacteria; Pseudomonadati; Pseudomonadota; Gammaproteobacteria; Enterobacterales; Enterobacteriaceae. The record is from RNAcentral.